This is a long non-coding RNA of Rhododendron vialii, 1453 nucleotides long. RefSeq lists it as uncharacterized. The record is from RefSeq and is a predicted model, not a curated record. NCBI's taxonomy places the organism in Eukaryota, Viridiplantae, Streptophyta, Magnoliopsida, Ericales, Ericaceae. The transcript is spliced from 3 exons.
UUUGCUCAAUCUCGAGUGGCCUAACAUACUUGCGUAGUGAUCUUGUUAAGUCCAAGACACACUUGCACCAAAGUACAACAAAAUAAAAGAGAAGUCAGGUCAUAAACUAUAGACAUUGUCAAACAUUACCUAAAGUUUGGCUCCACUACCCCACUUCUUCAUGCCCUUAGCACAGCCUCGACCAUGCUUUUUCAUAGAUGUCUCAGGAGAUGAAAAUUCAAUUAAUAGUAUGAUAGAAACCUAUGAGCAAACAAAUACCAAAUACACACCCCAACAACUCUGUAUUCUGUAAUUCCAGUUAGAGCAUAUGGCAAAACAGAAGCAACAACCAGGAAAAGGCAUUUACACAGACUAACAUAGUAGCAACAGAUUCCAUCUCAUAUAGAGUAUGUGUUUCUUUUUAAAAAAAUAAAAGAGUUACAUGUCCUGAUCAUCUGAUGACGGUUGAGCUGGCUGUCUUGAUUGAGAAUAUAAUUUGAUACUCUAUAGAGGCUGCAUUUAGACAGAUGGAUUGGUGCCUUCAUACCAUGUUAGGAAUGGUAUAUGAAUUUCUAAUUUUCUACAACUAAAAUGCUAAAAGUUUAUUAUGUACAAGAUACCAACAAAUACAAGAAGUAAUCCAAAAUAGACAUGAACUUGAUCAUUUCCAUUUCAUGCUCCCAAUUCAAUUCUUUUCGCUCAAGGACACGUUUGUUCCUAAUUUUCCACAAGGACCAACAAAUAAAAGGACUGACUUCGCAUGGCAAAAAGAAAAAAAUAGAUCUCAUGUUUCCCUUUCACAGUCACAAAAUAGGCAAACUACAACCAAAUCAAAAACCCCCACAUGUGCAGGUUAGCAUCUUGCUAAUCUUAUUUCUUUUGUAUAUGUAUUCAUAUACAUAGCUGUUCACUUUGCCUAUUAAAAAAACAGAACUUAAGAAGAUACCAAAUCAAUUCUUAUCAUUAAUCAUACGGAAAGAAAUAGAUAGACCCUUUAAUGAGUACAAAUCUUUAAUGUAAAUAUACCUGAAACCCUAACCAUCGUUUACGGAGACUACUCGCCAACGCAUCUGCCGUCAACAGGAAACUCUGACUAAUGUACCCUCCACACCAUAUCUCUCUUGUGGAAAACCUUACUUCGGCGUUCGAACAGCCAGGAUUCUCGAAAUAUCAAACCGAAAUCGGUCCAUCUGUCCAUGUAUUGAGAAAGGGAGGGAGAGGGAGAGGGAGAGAGAGAGAAUACGAGCCAAUGGCGGGUGGCGAAGCACUUGUUCGAUUGGCAAAUCCACGGCCAGAUCUGAAGCCAUACGGUGCGUCCAUCUCGUAGCUUUCCAAAUCGAACGAGAAGCAGAAGGCGAGCCACGAGAAGAGGAGAACGAAGGUCGCCUCGAGGAACACGGCUUGAGACUGAGUGAAUCUCCUCAUUGUAUCGAAGGAGACUCGCAACACCUACCCACCCACCCACCCCCUCCCC